RNAcentral lists this ribosomal RNA (254 nucleotides) under uncultured bacterium. RNAcentral's name for it is "partial 16S ribosomal RNA". It matches the Rfam family "Bacterial small subunit ribosomal RNA", at positions 524 to 776 of the family's 1533-position model. The record is from RNAcentral.
UACGUAGGGGGCUAGCGUUGUCCGGAAUUAUUGGGCGUAAAGAGCUCGUAGGCGGUGUGUCGCGUCGGCUGUGAAAACCUGCAGCUUAACUGUGGGCUUGCGGUCGAUACGGGCAUCACUGGAGUUCGGCAGGGGAGACUGGAAUUCCUGGUGUAGCGGUGAAAUGCGCAGAUAUCAGGAGGAACACCGGUGGCGAAGGCGGGUCUCUGGGCCGAUACUGACGCUGAGGAGCGAAAGCGUGGGGAGCGAACAGG